This 301-nucleotide ribosomal RNA is filed under the name uncultured bacterium. Its description in RNAcentral is "partial 16S ribosomal RNA". It matches the Rfam family "Bacterial small subunit ribosomal RNA", at positions 509 to 807 of the family's 1533-position model. The record is from RNAcentral.
CAGUCGCCGCGGGAAUACGGAGGGAGCUAGCGUUGUUCGGAAUUACUGGGCGUAAAGCGCGCGUAGGCGGUUACUCAAGUCAGAGGUGAAAGCCCGGGGCUCAACCCCGGAACUGCCUUUGAAACUAGGUGACUAGAAUCUUGGAGAGGUCAGUGGAAUUCCGAGUGUAGAGGUGAAAUUCGUAGAUAUUCGGAAGAACACCAGUGGCGAAGGCGACUACCUGGACUGAUACUGACACUGAGGUGCGAAAGCGUGGGGAGCAAACAGGAUUAGAUACCCCUGUAGUCCCUGUCUCUUAUAC